UACAGAGGUCUCAAGCGUUGUUCGGAUUUAUUGGGCGUAAAGGGCGCGUAGGCGGCGGGGUAAGUCGGGUGUGAAAUCUCAGGGCUCAACCCUGAAACUGCACUUGAUACUGCUCUGCUUGAGGACUGGAGAGGAGACUGGAAUUCACGGUGUAGCAGUGAAAUGCGUAGAUAUCGUGAGGAAGACCAGUGGCGAAGGCGGGUCUCUGGACAGUUCCUGACGCUGAGGAGCGAAAGCCAGGGGAGCAAACGGG
Molecule: ribosomal RNA, 253 nt
Filed under: uncultured bacterium
Lineage: Bacteria
Description: partial 16S ribosomal RNA
Rfam family: Bacterial small subunit ribosomal RNA
Source: RNAcentral